Long non-coding RNA from Triticum dicoccoides, 785 nucleotides. RefSeq lists it as uncharacterized. The transcript has 3 exons. NCBI's taxonomy places the organism in Eukaryota, Viridiplantae, Streptophyta, Magnoliopsida, Poales, Poaceae. The record is from RefSeq and is a predicted model, not a curated record.
UAAAAAAAAAUCUGGGUUGCUCCACUCUUCCCGUAGAAAACUUGUUCGAGCCCUAUCAGUUCGAAGCAGCAGGGUAGGAUAGGGCGGAGCCGCCGGUGACCCCGGCGGUGGCGGUGGCAGCAGCAGAGGGGGGCCGCGAGGAUGGCCGCUGGGACGAGGAGGCGGAGCCGAUGACCCCGGCGGUGGCGGCGGCAGAGGGGGUCGGCGAUGAUGGCCGAUGGUACGAGGAGGCGGAGCCGAUGACCCCGGCGGCGGCAGCGGAGGGGUCCCAGGGGCUCUAGGACCGAUGUCUGAUGCAGCCGUGGUUCCUCGCUGUCAAGAGCUAGAUCGAGCGCACGGCCUUUUGGAAAAUUGGACGAAUGGGCGUCCAAGAGGCACUCCUUGCCGGAUCACGCUGCUGCUGGCGUAAUCUAGGCCGGAUCUGUGGAGAGCCCGGCGCAGCACCGUCUACAGGUAUUUGGCAAUGUUGGCUCUUGGGCUGCCCAAUUGAUAACUGAAGCUGGUGGCAAGGUGGUCUCCAUCAGAGAUGUCACAGGGGCUGUCAAGAACUCCAAUGGCGUUGACAUAGCCAAGCUGAUGAAGCACUCGGCAAAGAACCGCGGGAUCAAGGGCUCCGACAAAAGGCGACGCCGUCGACCCGACCUCACUGCUCACGGAAGAGUGCGACGUGCUCAUCCCGGCAGCUCUGGCAGGAGUCAUAAACAAGGACAAUGUUGAUGCCAUCAAAGCAAAGUACAUCAUCGAAGCUGCUAACCACCCAACAGACCCCAAGGCCGAAGAGGCAA